UAUGCAUAUACAUCUAGAACAUAAAUGGAUACAACUAUCAGCAUCCAAUUUAUAUCCAUGUCUGCAUCAAUAUACACCAAACAAAUGUUGAUACAGAUAUGAACAUGUUCAUAUUCAUAAUUCAUGUCCAGUCAUUUUUCAGCCCUACUUCCAAAGGAGCAUCUAGCUUCCAACGCCUUGUUGUAUGUAUCCAUGAUCUAUAAAAUGGGGUAGCAAUUGUGCAUGAGUGGCUACCCAUGACAGCUUUAGUUAGUGACAAUCAUUAGUUGAAGACAUAUUAAAUAUAAAAAAGUUAUCUAAAAUUAUUUAUAAUCAUCAAUUUAUUAUUGCAAAUUAUGUUCAUUGGCUUAAAACAUGUCUUUAUGCU
RNAcentral lists this long non-coding RNA (367 nucleotides) under Elaeis guineensis (African oil palm). Its description in RNAcentral is "long non-coding RNA (EGUI_LNC034534)". The record is from RNAcentral. Lineage: Eukaryota; Viridiplantae; Streptophyta; Magnoliopsida; Arecales; Arecaceae.